Molecule: non-coding RNA, 26 nt
Filed under: Cricetulus griseus (Chinese hamster)
Lineage: Eukaryota; Metazoa; Chordata; Mammalia; Rodentia; Cricetidae
Source: RNAcentral
CUACAGUGGAAACAGUCAACAAAGCU